AACCUCUACAAUGCACGAAAGUGUGAUAGGGGGAUUCUCAGUGCUUAUGCAUUGCAUAGGCUUUUUCCAUUGGUAAACACAAUGGAGAAUAAGUGGUGGGUAAGACUGGUGCCAGCCGCCGCGGUAACACCAGCGCCACGAGUGGGGGUCGCGAUUAUUGGGCCUAAAGCGUCCGUAGCCUGUCUUGUAAAUCCUUUGUGAAAUCGUCCAGCUCAACUGGACGGACUGCAGAGGACACUGCAAGACUCGAGACCGGGAGGAGCUAGAGGUAUUUCGUGGGGAGCGGUAAAAUGCUAUAAUCCACGGAGGACCACCUAUGGCGAAGGCAUCUAGCCAGAACGGAUCUGACGGUGAGGGACGAAAGCCAGGGGAGCGAACCGG
Molecule: ribosomal RNA, 381 nt
Filed under: uncultured archaeon
Lineage: Archaea
Description: bacterial SSU rRNA
Rfam family: Archaeal small subunit ribosomal RNA
Source: RNAcentral